Molecule: long non-coding RNA, 947 nt
Organism: Lolium rigidum
Lineage: Eukaryota; Viridiplantae; Streptophyta; Magnoliopsida; Poales; Poaceae
Exons: 4
Source: RefSeq, a predicted model, not a curated record
AUUUUUCGUUCAAGGUGUUAAUUUGUUCUAUUUCCUCACCUGGUUCUCCGGGAGCGCCUCCCCUUCCGACGGCGGGCGCUUGGAUUCCUCUCGUCGGCGAUGGCAGCCGAAGUUGUUAAUCUCCCAGCUAUUGAACCUCAAUGCAAGGCUACAAUACAAUCUAGGUUUUCAACACUUAGGUUCAUGAAAGUUGUGAAACGAUUUAAUGAUAUUCAGAAGUCCUUUAUAUCAAAGCAUCAUCUGGAAAUCUUCUGAAACUACCUGAACACUUGAUGGUUCCUUUGCAUCUUCAGCAGUGGCUACUCGGCCAUACUACUGGUUGUUGUAUACUUGGAUUUCCUCGAUUUCAAUGACAAUGCCCCCCCCAUUGAUUAUAGUCUGCCUAGGAUGUCCUUCAUCGGAAAUGAAGAUUUCUCCUAUCUCGUGAAUUCAGAUCGUAACAUAACGUCUCGAAAAUCAUAUGGGGUGCUACCAAUAAGGGACAUUUCUCUAACUCCAUAUGGCACUCCUCUACAAAUCCUCCUAGAUGCACCUCAGGCAAGAGAUGGUGAUGCAGUUUUGCAAGUUGGCUAAUGAUCUCAUAGAUCAUCCACCAGAACCUAAUCAAGCCAUCCUGGGCGAGUUAUUCGUAGAUGAUUUUAAUGAAGAUGGCUACUACAAUCAGGAGGGGGCGAAGCCAGCAGCAGCACUUGUGGCGGGAGGCGAGUAUCACUGAAGCGGAGGCGUCGUCCUGAACUCGUUCACCCUUGAUCAGUCGACUUUUUGAGAAACCUGAGAGUUGUGAAGACGUCUUGAUUUUCUGUUUAGUCGUCCCGUUUGCAUCCUUUUCGGUUCUGCUUAGUGUUGGUAUCGAGCGAUUUUAAGCACUGCUGUAAGAUUGUCUGAUUAGUCGUCCUGUUUGGUCUUUUUUCCGGUUCUGCUUAGUGCUGGUAUCGAGCAAUUUUUAA